UUGUUGCAGUUAAAAAGCUCGUAGUUGGAUUUCGGAACCGGCCGAUUGGUCCGUCCUCUGGAUCGUGUACUGAUCGGUCUGUUCUUCUUCGCGAAGACCGCGUGUGCUCUUAACUGAGUGGGCGUGGGAUUCGCGACGUUUACUUUGAAAAAAUUAGAGUGUUCAAAGCAGGCAGUCGCUUGAAUAUCUCAGCAUGGAAUAAUAGAAUAGGACUUUGGUCUUAUUUUGUUGGUUUCCGAGACCGAAGUAAUGAUUAAUAGGGACAGUUGGGGGCAUUCGUAUUUCAUUGUCAGAGGUGAAAUUCUUGGAUUUAUGAAAGACGAACUUCUGCGAAAGCAUUUGCCAAGGAUGUUUUCAUUAAUCAAGAACGAAAGUUGGAGGCUCGAAGACGAUCAGAUACCGUCCUAGUUCCAACCAUAAACGAUGCCGUCUGCGGAUCGGAGGUCGCUCAUGUAAGGCUCCUUCGGCACGCUAUGAGAAAUCAAAGACUUCGGGUUCCGGGGGGAGUAUGUUCGCAAGAAUGAAACUUAAAGGAAUUGACGGAAGGGCACCACCA
RNAcentral lists this ribosomal RNA (556 nucleotides) under uncultured marine eukaryote. RNAcentral's name for it is "SSU rRNA". It matches the Rfam family "Eukaryotic small subunit ribosomal RNA", at positions 610 to 1172 of the family's 1831-position model. The record is from RNAcentral.